RNAcentral lists this ribosomal RNA (383 nucleotides) under Mnais strigata. Its description in RNAcentral is "partial 16S ribosomal RNA". The record is from RNAcentral. Lineage: Eukaryota; Metazoa; Arthropoda; Insecta; Odonata; Calopterygidae.
GGUAACUUAUUCUACUAAUCAAUAAUAAUGGAUCUAAGAAUCAUAAAUAAAUGUAUAAUAAAUAAUAAAAGUUAAAUAUAUAUCUUUUGUCGCCCCAACAAAAAAGUCUAAUCAACAGCAGUAAAAAUGAAACAAAACAGCCAUUAAAAUUGACCAUUAAAGCUCUAUAGGGUCUUCUCGUCUUCCAAAAGAAUUUGAGCCUUUUAACUCAAAAGCUAAAUUUUAACUUAUUUAAUUGAGACAGUUAGAGCCUCGUCAAGCCCUUCAUUCCAGCCCCCUAUUAAAAGACUAAUGAUUAUGCUACCUUUGCACGGUCAAAAUACCGCGGCCGUUAAAUAAUUAUCACCGGGCAGGCUUGACCUCAUAUAAUAAAACAAGAGGAC